RNAcentral lists this ribosomal RNA (464 nucleotides) under Camellia saluenensis. Its description in RNAcentral is "eukaryotic LSU rRNA". It matches the Rfam family "Eukaryotic large subunit ribosomal RNA", at positions 2927 to 3401 of the family's 3401-position model. Lineage: Eukaryota; Viridiplantae; Streptophyta; Magnoliopsida; Ericales; Theaceae. The record is from RNAcentral.
GAUUGUUCACCCACCAAUAGGGAACGUGAGCUGGGUUUAGACCAUCGUGAUACAGGUUAGUUUUACCCUACUGAUGACAGUGUCGCAAUAGUAAUUCAACCUAGUAUGAGAGGGACCAUUGAUUCGCACAAUUGGUCAUCGUGCUUGGUUGAAAAGCCAGUGGCCCGAAGCUACCGUGCACUGGAUUAUGACUGAACACCUCUAAGUCAGAAUCCGGGAUAGAAGCGACGCAUGCGUUCGCCGCCCACUUGCCAACCCACAGUAAGGGCCGUCCGGGCCCCAAAGACACGUGUCGUUGGUGAAGCCCGCAUGGGUUGCCUUGAAGUACAAUUCCUAUCUUGAGCGGUGGGUAGAAUCCUUUGCAAAUGACUUAAAUACGCGAUGGGGUAUUGUAUGUGGCAGAGUGGCCUUGCUGCCAUAAUCCACUGAGAUUCAGCCCUGCGUCGCUCCGAUUCCUCCCUCCC